RNAcentral lists this ribosomal RNA (468 nucleotides) under uncultured bacterium. RNAcentral's name for it is "partial 16S ribosomal RNA". It matches the Rfam family "Bacterial small subunit ribosomal RNA", at positions 28 to 507 of the family's 1533-position model. The record is from RNAcentral.
GACGAACGCUGGCGGCGUGCUUAACACAUGCAAGUCGAACGGAAAGGCCCUGCUUUUGUGGGGUGCUCGAGUGGCGAACGGGUGAGUAACACGUGAGUAUCCUGCCCUUGACUUUGGGAUAACUUCAGGAAACUGGGGCUAAUACAGGAUAGGAGCUCCUGCUGCAUGGUGGGGGUUGGUAAGUUUCGGCGGUUGGGGCUGGACUGGCGGCUUAUCAGCUUGUUGGUGGGGUAGUGGCUUACCAAGGCUUUGACGGGUAGCCGGCCUGAGAGGGUGACCGGCCACAUUGGGACUGAGAUACGGCGCAGACGCCUACGGUAGGCAGCAGUGGGGAAUAUUGCACAAUGGGGGGAAGCCUGAUACAGCAACGCUGCGUGCGGGAUGACGGCCUUCGGGUGGUAAACCGAUGUCGCAGGUGACGAAGCGUGAGUGACGGUAAUGGGUAAAGAAGCACCGGCUAACUACGUG